This 196-nucleotide long non-coding RNA is filed under the name Chinchilla lanigera (long-tailed chinchilla). RNAcentral's name for it is "lncRNA (ENSCLAG00000024607.1)". The record is from RNAcentral. Lineage: Eukaryota; Metazoa; Chordata; Mammalia; Rodentia; Chinchillidae.
CUCAAAUAUUUCUCUUUGAGCUCCUAUAACUGGAGAGGCCAUCAUAAGUGGAUCAGCUGCUUCUACAAACACGCAUCAAGGUUGUUGCCAGGUGCAGUUCUUAAGUUCUGGAAGUAUUGAAUGAAUGAUUGUGAAGUAGAUCACACUUACCAAUAAGAAUAACCCAAAUUACUUACUCAACAAACAUUUCAUUGAG